AUUGAACGCUGGCGGCAGGCUUAACACAUGCAAGUCGAGCAGGGUGAUGGUGCUUGCACUAUCACUUAGCGGCGGACGGGUGAGUAAUGCUUAGGAAUCUGCCUAUUAGUGGGGGACAACAUCUCGAAAGGGAUGCUAAUACAGCAGACGUCCUACGGGAGAAAGCAGGGGAGGCCUUGUGCCCUUGCGCUAAUAGAUGAGCCUACACCGGAAUAGCGAGUUGGUGGGGUAAAGGCCUACCAAGGCGACGAUCUGUAGCGGGUCUGAGAGGAUGAUCCGCCACACUGGGACUGAGACACGGCCCAGACUCCUACGGGAGGCAGCAGUGGGGAAUAUUGGACAAUGGGGGCAACCCUGAUCCAGCAAUGCCGCGUGUGUGAAGAAGGCCUUCGGGUUGUAAAGCACUUUAGGUGGGGAGAAAGGCAUUUGUUUUAAUAGAACAAGUGAUUGAUGUUACCCACAGAAGAAGCACCGGCUAACUUUGUGCCAGCCGCCGCGGUAA
Molecule: ribosomal RNA, 502 nt
Filed under: uncultured bacterium
Lineage: Bacteria
Description: partial 16S ribosomal RNA
Rfam family: Bacterial small subunit ribosomal RNA
Source: RNAcentral